ACGUGGCAACUCAAGGUGCUUUACCAUUCUAAACCAAACGCGAGGCAAAAAAUAUUUUGAAUCUGUCAGAACACCGAGCGACCACCCCGAGAGUGCGAACACUUCCGAGAACGAUCACCCACAGCUUAGAAUGAUAACUCAAACUGAGGAUCAUCAAGGCCGUUAAUCACGCUCUGAUCGCACGGUAAUGCUUCAUCCACCAGAUUUAUGUUCCUGUCUCCUUAGAAAUCAAGGACACAGUAGUACGAGCCUAUAGAACAGAUCCUGUUCAAGUAAGGUUCUUUCUUUAUGCGAGUGAGUGAUUUUCCGUAGUGAAAGUUUCUUCUGUUUUAGAGGAGAGGAAACUCACAACAAAUUCACCCAUCACCACCACUGGUACACAGCAGCCUUUUAAGGAAGGAAGCUGCUUAACUGUUUUCAAGCACUGGAAAAUUUAGAGAAGACAAGUUAUUGCACCGACUGCGCACUCUCUCCCAAAUACUCUUCUUCAUGGUGGUGCUUGGAUGGGCUACUUACAAUCCUCCAAUCUCAAAUUCAAUGCGGUCGUUAUGUUUUCCCUUCCUUCUACAAUGACGGACGUGAGGCACCACCAGAAGGGUCUUUCGCUUAGCAUUGCAAAAUGUUUGGAGAGGCAGUGAAAAUGUGAGUAAUUAGCAUAGUGAGAGAAAAAAUCAGUUUUGUGUAUUUUAACCACCCAUUUAUGCGUUGUGCAUCAAAUACCACCACACUGAUUUGUUUAUCAAAAGUUGGUAUUCCUUUGUGAAUUGCUCGCUUCAGACUGUCAUUGUCAUCUCAGUGGCCAUUGCUUUUAGUACUCCCAUAUAUUUGUUAUAAAAGAAUGUUGUUUUUGUCCA
Lathyrus oleraceus (garden pea) is the source of this 854-nucleotide long non-coding RNA. RefSeq lists it as uncharacterized. The record is from RefSeq and is a predicted model, not a curated record. NCBI's taxonomy places the organism in Eukaryota, Viridiplantae, Streptophyta, Magnoliopsida, Fabales, Fabaceae. The transcript is spliced from 2 exons.